UACGUAGGGAGCAAGCGUUGUCCGGAAUCAUUGGGCGUAAAGCGCGCGUAGGCGGCCCGAUAAGUCCGCUGUGAAAGUCAACGGCUCAACUGUUGGAUGCCGGUGGAUACUGUCGGGCUAGAGUACGGAAGAGGCAAGUGGAAUUCCUGGUGUAGCGGUGGAAUGCGCAGAUAUCAGGAGGAACACCUAUAGCGAAGGCAGCUUGCUGGGACGUUACUGACACUAAGGCGCGAAAGCGUGGGGAGCGAACAGG
Molecule: ribosomal RNA, 253 nt
Filed under: uncultured bacterium
Lineage: Bacteria
Description: partial 16S ribosomal RNA
Rfam family: Bacterial small subunit ribosomal RNA
Source: RNAcentral